UACGUAGGGAGCAAGCGUUGUCCGGAAUCAUUGGGCGUAAAGCGCGCGUAGGCGGCCCUGUAAGUCCGUUGUGAAAGUCAAAGGCUCAACCUUUGAAAGCCGAUGGAUACUGCAGGGCUAGAGUCCGGAAGAGGCGAGUGGAAUUCCUGGUGUAGCGGUGGAAUGCGCAGAUAUCAGGAGGAACACCAGUGGCGAAGGCGGCGAUCUGGGAAGAUACUGACGCUGAGGUGCGAAAGCGUGGGGAGCAAACAGG
Molecule: ribosomal RNA, 253 nt
Filed under: uncultured bacterium
Lineage: Bacteria
Description: partial 16S ribosomal RNA
Rfam family: Bacterial small subunit ribosomal RNA
Source: RNAcentral